Cinara cedri is the source of this 1521-nucleotide non-coding RNA. Lineage: Eukaryota; Metazoa; Arthropoda; Insecta; Hemiptera; Aphididae. The record is from the annotation of a GenBank genome assembly.
AAUUUAAUCUAAAUUACAACACACUAAUUGAUUAUUAUUUAGAAAUGUAUUAGCACGGAUACCUGGUAUUGUAUUUUCUUUUUUUAAAAAUCAGAAAACAUAGAAAUCGGAACAACGGUAAAUGGACUCAUUUUAAAUUUUCAACAUAGAUUGCUGCCUACAUAAUUCAUUGUACAAUAUAAAAUUAAAGAUAAUUUGAAUACAAUAGUAUUUUUAAUUGUACACAUAUUGCAAAUUAUUCAGUACCUAGUAAUUUCAAUAACACUACAAUAUUUUUAAACUAUUAUUAAGCAUACAUACACGACGGGUGUUUUCUGCGAGAAAACUGAAUUUAUUAGGAUGGAAAUAUUAUUUGUUUAGCAUUUGCUGUGCACGCAACGAUGAUCUUUUGACUAGUUAAUAUACAAAAAAUUGUAAGAUGAAGGGAAUCAGCUUUCUUUUUGUCAGGGCUGGCAGUAAGACUCACAAACCAACGACCAACGGUUUUGAGAGGAAUCGGUUAAGAUUAAUUUUAAGUCAAAUAUAACAAUAAUAGGUCUCUACGAUUAUUUUUAACUGAAUAACAACCAAAAAAUUAAAUUAAAAAUUUGAGUGUUGAAUUUUUAGAUUCCCAUCAACUCGUUGACGAGAUAUCCACUUUCAAGUUCAGGUAGGUGGAGAAUAGUGGAUCACUAUUCAAAUGUCGCGUGCUACACCGCCACACAACCACUACUCUCCUCCUAAUACUGUAUAUGAAACUCAUAUCGGUGAAGUAUAAAAUAUUGUUUAUCAAUUAUUCGUGUUAUUUUUCUUUGCAGUACCUACCUGAUAAUAUUAAUCAACUGAUAAAUUUACAUAUUUGAUUAAAAAAAGUUUCACUUAAGAAUUUGGGAAAUUCGUUUUUAAAUUAUACGUCUAAUAUGCAAAUGAUACACGCGAUACAUUUCGCAAUUUUUCAAAAUUAUAGAUUAGAACUGCUUGUCAGACAAGACAAAUUUUGCUAUAGAAGUGUUGCACACACCGAAAUCGGCAUUGAUGACUGUUUAUCCUUACAUUGUACAAGCAAUGCAAAAGAACACAUAUGAUGUGUGAAUCCAACAAGAGGCGCUUACGAAAAAAAAAUAUAAAUCCGAAGGAAAAGUCUAUAACAUACUUUUUAUGCUGAAAAAUGAGUUAAAUAUAAAAAAUGUUUGAUUAGGGUUAAAUGCAAUUAUUACCAUUAUAUGUAUUUACAGAUUAAUACAAAAGUACGUAUAUUAUGUAUAAAGCUUUAACUUAACAUUAACAACAAAAAGUUAAACUUGUCUGCCAAAAGAUAUAUUCGUAUUUGUUUUCUGGAUGAUUAAUAAUCGUCCUCAUGCCCAUCAUCAUUUGACAAAGGAUAAUAUUAUCAUAUUUUGUUUUAGCCACGCUUUUGAUAUUCCUUCCUAUGUAUAUAAUAUAAUAUAAUAUCUUAACACCCCUAUCAAUUUCUCAAUGUUCCCCCCCACGCAUAAUGAUGCAAAAUAAAUGUAGAAUUAUUAUGUUAUCCAAAUAAAUUAC